RNAcentral lists this ribosomal RNA (496 nucleotides) under uncultured bacterium. Its description in RNAcentral is "bacterial SSU rRNA". It matches the Rfam family "Bacterial small subunit ribosomal RNA", at positions 8 to 523 of the family's 1533-position model. The record is from RNAcentral.
AGAGUUUGAUCCUGGCUCAGGAUGAACGUUGGCGGCGUGCCUAAUACAUGCAAGUCGAACGGAGAUUGUAGCAAUACGGUCUCAGUGGCGAACGGGUGAGUAACGCGUUGGUGACCUGCCCCGAAGUGUGGAAUAACAGAUCGAAAGAGCUGCUAAUACCGCAUAAUAUCCAGAGGACUAGAUGCCUUUGGAUUAAAGGAUUUAUUCGCUUCGGGAGGGGCCUGCGUCCCAUCAGCUAGUUGGUAAGGUAAAGGCUUACCAAGGCUAUGACGGGUAGGGGACCUGAGAGGGUGGCCCCCCACAAUGGAACUGAAACACGGUCCAUACACCUACGGGUGGCAGCGGUAGGGAAUAUUAGAAAUGGACGAACGUCUGAUCUAGCAACACCGCGUGUGCGAAGAAGGCCUUCGGGUUGUAAAGCACUUUUUGAGAGGAUGAGGAAGGACGGUACUCUCAGAAUAAGUCUCGGCUAACUACGUGCCAGCAGCCGCGGUAA